RNAcentral lists this ribosomal RNA (301 nucleotides) under uncultured bacterium. RNAcentral describes it as "partial 16S ribosomal RNA". It matches the Rfam family "Bacterial small subunit ribosomal RNA", at positions 509 to 809 of the family's 1533-position model. The record is from RNAcentral.
CAGCAGCCGCUGGAAAACGAAGGGGGCUAGCGUUGUUCGGAUUUACUGGGCGUAAAGCGCACGUAGGCGGAUCGAUCAGUCAGGGGUGAAAUCCCAGAGCUCAACUCUGGAACUGCCUUUGAUACUGUCGAUCUGGAGUAUGGAAGAGGUGAGUGGAAUUCCGAGUGUAGAGGUGAAAUUCGUAGAUAUUCGGAGGAACACCAGUGGCGAAGGCGGCUCACUGGUCCAUUACUGACGCUGAGGUGCGAAAGCGUGGGGAGCAAACAGGAUUAGAUACCCCCGUAGUCCCUGUCUCUUAUAA